UAAUGAAGACACAAAAGGGAGCACCGGCCAUAACCGGUACUCCCUUGACAAGACCGUUGAAGACGGUCGACAUUCGUUUAAGCAAUCAAUUA
Molecule: small RNA, 92 nt
Filed under: Lacticaseibacillus paracasei
Lineage: Bacteria; Bacillati; Bacillota; Bacilli; Lactobacillales; Lactobacillaceae
Also listed under: 1 other name
Description: RNA anti-toxin A
Rfam family: RNA anti-toxin A
Source: RNAcentral